Molecule: ribosomal RNA, 464 nt
Filed under: uncultured bacterium
Lineage: Bacteria
Description: partial 16S ribosomal RNA
Rfam family: Bacterial small subunit ribosomal RNA
Source: RNAcentral
CCUACGGGAGGCAGCAGUAGGGAAUCUUCCACAAUGGGCGAAAGCCUGAUGGAGCAACGCCGCGUGGGUGAAGAAGGUCUUCGGAUCGUAAACCCUGUUGUUAGAGAAGAAAGUGCGUGAGAGUAACUGUUCACGUUUCGACGGUCUCUAACCAUAAAGCCACGGCUAACUACGUGCCAGCAGCCGCGGUAAUACGUAGGUGGCAAGCGUUAUCCGGAUUUAUUGGGCGUAAAGGGAACGCAGGCGGUCUUUUAAGUCUGAUGUGAAAGCCUUCGGCUUAACCGGAGUAGUGCAUUGGAAACUGGGAGACUUGAGUGCAGAAGAGGAGAGUGGAACUCCAUGUGUAGCGGUGAAAUGCGUAGAUAUAUGGAAGAACACCAGUGGCGAAAGCGGCUCGCUGGGCUGUAACUGACGCUGAGGUUCGAAAGCGUGGGUAGCAAACAGGAUUAGAUACCCGGGUAGUC